GACAGAGGGUGCAAACGUUGUUCGGAAUUACUGGGCGUAAAGCGCGUGUAGGCUGCUUCGAAAGUCGGGUGUGAAAGCCCCGGGCUCAACCUGGGAAUUGCAUUUGAGACUGCGUAGCUAGGGUGCGGAAGAGGGAAGCGGAAUUUCCGGUGUAGCGGUGAAAUGCGUAGAUAUCGGAAGGAACACCAGUGGCGAAAGCGGCUUCCUGGUCCAGCACCGACGUUCAGGCACGAAAGCGUGGGGAGCAAACAGG
This 253-nucleotide ribosomal RNA is filed under the name uncultured bacterium. RNAcentral describes it as "partial 16S ribosomal RNA". It matches the Rfam family "Bacterial small subunit ribosomal RNA", at positions 524 to 776 of the family's 1533-position model. The record is from RNAcentral.